RNAcentral lists this ribosomal RNA (300 nucleotides) under uncultured Methanosarcina sp. Its description in RNAcentral is "bacterial SSU rRNA". It matches the Rfam family "Bacterial small subunit ribosomal RNA", at positions 496 to 795 of the family's 1533-position model. Lineage: Archaea; Methanobacteriati; Methanobacteriota; Methanomicrobia; Methanosarcinales; Methanosarcinaceae. The record is from RNAcentral.
GCCAACUACGUGCCGUCGGUCGGGGUAAGACGGGUGGUGGGGGGGUUGUCCGGAAGUAUGGUGCUUAAAGAGCUCGUUGGCGGCUGUGCGCAUUGUCCGUGAAAAUUUUCAGCUCAACGGUGAACUGGCGGGCGGUACGGGCAGGCGAGAGUACUGCAGGGGAGACUGGAAUUCCUGGUGUAGCGGUGAAAUGCGCAGAUAUCAGGAGGAACACCGGUGGCGAAGGCGGGUCUCUGGGCAGUAACUGACGCUGAGGAGCGAAAGCGUGGGGAGCGAACAGGACUAGAUACCCCGGUAGUC